Long non-coding RNA from Zophobas morio, 1553 nucleotides. RefSeq lists it as uncharacterized. Lineage: Eukaryota; Metazoa; Arthropoda; Insecta; Coleoptera; Tenebrionidae. The record is from RefSeq and is a predicted model, not a curated record. The transcript is spliced from 4 exons.
AGGUGGUUGCCUAUACAGGAGUAGGUGGUUGCCUAUACAGAAGUAGGUGGUUGCCUAUACACAAGUAGGUGGUUGCCUAUACAGAAGUAGGUGGUUGCCUAUAUGGAAGUAGGUGAUCCGCGUAUUCAAAUUUACGCGCGUAUAGUAUAGUUGGCCAGCUGCACACCGAGGGCGCAAAUUUGUUUCCAUCGUUAACAACGUAGGUAUCAUUUCUUAUAUUGAAGUUCUGUGCCUGGAAACAACCAUGGAAAACAUUAUAUGGAGAAUAUCUCAUUGCAUACGAGUAUUUCGCUGAAAAAGAAAAUUCUGUGAAAUCAACAUUUUGGGCUACAUAGUCGUUGUUAAAGUCAACUCUGUUAAUAUAAAACAGCAUAGAUAUAAUCUAAGUACACCAAGUUCUCAAGCAAAAAAUAUAGGUUAUGUUUCCCAGAAAUCAAAUAUAGUUACAAGAGAAAACUUACGAAAAUUUUUAGCAGAGGCCCGUGAUUAAUGUACCUAAUGUCAAAGGUAUAUUUUUUAUUCGAACCUGGUUGUAGGAGUAUGCGGAAUGGAAGAAUUUGAACAAUUUUCUUGUAUCUACAUAACCUAUAAUAAGCUUUUAUUAUUAUUACAGAACAGAUUAUUAGCUUACAUGCCCAUUUUAAAUGAAAAAAGAUCUGCAGCAAUUGCAAAAUAGAGAUGGAUAGCUAUAAUAACAAGAACUUUACAUGCAUUCGACCGAACUUGCAAAAACUGGCAGAUAAUAUAUCAAAUUUAUUACCCAAAAACUCAGCCACAGUUUAUGAAAAGCGGUAUGAAAAUUUUUUUUUUUGGCGCAGAAACAACCAUGCGAAAUACAUGGAGAACACCUCAUUGCAUACGAGUAUUUCGCUGGAAAAGCAAAUUCUGUGAAAUCUUUAACACUUUGGGUGCAUAGUCGUAGUUAAAGUCAAGUAGAUAUAUCUAAGUACACCAAGUUUUCAAGCAAAAAAUAUAGGUUACGUUGCCAAGCAAUCAAAUAUAUUUACAAGAGAAGACUUACCAAAAUUUUUAACAGAAGCCCAUGAUUAAAUGUACCUGAUGUUAAAGGUUUAUUUUUUAUUACAAGUUGUAGGAGCAUAUAGAAUGGAUAAAUUGAGAAAGAAUGACGGCAUUCAAGACAAAAACGAUACGCUAAUAAUUAAAAUUCCUACGUCUAAAACUGGCAAAGCACGAGAAUUUACAAAUAUGUGUAAAAAUAUUUAUCCAAUUGAAAUAUAGUAAAAAUACCUAAUUUUAAGACCGCACCAUACACCAGACAAAUCAUUAUUUAUACAUUACAUUUGGAUAGUGAAUGCAGCAGCUGUUGCAUUGUACAAAUAUACCUGCAAACACAUUGUAACAAAUUAUGCAGACACCUCUUUUGACUAAAAGAUAUAUAUUUAACUUUAUCCAUACGUUGUCAACUUUGUUAAUAAUUGCAAUCUUUAACUUCAUAAGAAAUAUGAAUAAUCUACUUUGGUGUUGUAUAGUAGUAUUAAAUGUUCAUAGAAUAUAAUUGCACUUACUACGAAGUAAGCUUUCCUAGUUUUAAG